GCUCUAGUGGCACAAUGGUUAAGCACUUGGUUGCUAACCAAAAGGUCGGUGGUUCGAACCCACCCAGGGGCU
RNAcentral lists this transfer RNA (72 nucleotides) under Loxodonta africana (African savanna elephant). It matches the Rfam family "tRNA". Rfam says of the family: Transfer RNA (tRNA) molecules are approximately 80 nucleotides in length. The record is from Rfam by way of RNAcentral. Lineage: Eukaryota; Metazoa; Chordata; Mammalia; Proboscidea; Elephantidae.